Non-coding RNA from Camelina sativa (false flax), 1768 nucleotides. Lineage: Eukaryota; Viridiplantae; Streptophyta; Magnoliopsida; Brassicales; Brassicaceae. The record is from RefSeq and is a predicted model, not a curated record.
AGCGCACGUUAGCAUUGACCACUGUCUUUCUUCUCUCUCUGGAGUUAGUUUGUUUUUAACACACGCCCUGAUUCGAUUUCUCUCACCCACCCAAAAAGCCACUCACUCUCUCUGAAGCGAUGUCAUCGUCGUCGACGUUUCGAGCUCCGGCGGGAGCCGCUACCGUCUUUUCGACGGAUCAGAAGAUUAGACUCGGGAGGCUCGUCGCUUUGAGAUCCUCUCAUUCCGUUUUCUUAGGAAGAUAUGGACGCCGCGCCGCGGCGUUUCUUCUCCUCCAUCCGCUUCUUCGCCUAUCAAAGCCGUCUCCACGUGUAGAUGAUUUGUGGGAAUAUGAGAGAUUGAUGUAGCUAUAAUAGUGAGAAAGAUUCUGUGUUGUUCAUGUUUGAUUUACGUUUUUAUUCCGCCUGCGAAGACUGAGACUGCGACCAAGCGGAGCAAAGUCGGAAAUGAUCAUCAGGGAACAUUGUAGCUCGUGUCUCCUGAAAUUCAGAGCUCUCUCAUCCAUUAAGUCCAUCAUAUCAUCUUGCAAAUUCUGUGUCAUAAUUCAUAAUGAAAACAAUAUCUAGGAAAGAAAAGACAAAAGAGCCAGAAAUAAAUUUACGGCCCAAUCGUUUGUUUUUAAAUGAUAGCCCAAUAAAGGUUUUUUUCUUUUUCUUUUAAAAAGUAUUAUAAAUACCUUCUUCAGAACUAAUUUUAACCCCAAAAACUGUAAGGUUUCUUUAUCAAGGAUUAUUGCCGCCUCUCGCUCUUCUCAACUUCUCCAACCAUGAACGAAUACGCCUUCGAGGGUCCGAAACUGCAGCCUAACUUCAGGGACAUGGGUAGGGUUAUUGUUUCGGGAUAUGACACUAGCUAUAGCCUUCCUCUUGAAGUUGCCAAGAGAGCGUUGGAAAAGCAUUUCUCUUCAUGUGGAGAGAUCACGGAUGUGGCCUUUGACGACCGUUUUGCUUAUGUAUAUUUUGUGGGAGAAGCCGCAGUCGAUAAGGCAUUGCAACUUUUUAAUGGUAGUGAAUUGGAUGGUUGGAAGCUCACUGUUGAGCCUUUUCCGUUUCCCAAUGCAAAAGAUAAGAUUAUCGUAAGUGUUGAAGGAUUUGACACUUGCCUUAGUCAAGAUGAUCUCGAGAGCGCUUUAACUCCUCUGUUCUCCAUAUGAAAUCGAAAUCCUGUUAGGGCUCUGCUAUAGCUGCUAUGUACGGAAAAAACAUUGCAGAUAAGGCGUCUGAACUAAAUGGGUUCUACAUGGGAGAACGCAAAUUAGCUGUUCGUUUGCUUUCUUUACCGAGAAUAAGCCCUGUUCACUCACUCCCCCUCCUCAAGGGGACAACUCUUGCUCUCCUAGAUGCCCAUCACUCUGCCAGUGCUGCAGCCAUUCCACAAAGCAGUGAAAGCUUCAAGACCCCAGAUAAACCUGUUGAGGAGAAAAGGAAGUCAAGUGAGGAGGAACAGCAAACACCUGACCGAGAUGAGCUCUUUGUUGACGAUUUACGCAUGGGCGACCCCAACGGCAAGAAAGUAUGCUCAUUUAGGUCCUAACUUGCCUACAUGAUUACUGCAAUGACAUAGAAAUUAUUCAACAAGGUGGCAGUAAUAUGUGGGUAUUUUAAAAACUGACAUUGUAUAAUAGGAAGGGAACAAACCAAAUGUCUAUACGAGACCUAGUUAAUUAUAGCCCCGGAACUAUUAUGUUGUGGUGAAUACUAAACAAUAUCGUCUUUGUGGGAUUGGGUCUAUUAAAGUUUGAGUAAUUAAAUCUUUGUUUUUUGGAUCA